This 617-nucleotide ribosomal RNA is filed under the name uncultured bacterium. Its description in RNAcentral is "bacterial SSU rRNA". It matches the Rfam family "Bacterial small subunit ribosomal RNA", at positions 338 to 948 of the family's 1533-position model. The record is from RNAcentral.
CCUACGGGAGGCAGCAGUGGGGAAUUUUGGACAAUGGGCGCAAGCCUGAUCCAGCCAUGCCGCGUGUGGGAAGAAGGCCUUCGGGUUGUAAACCACUUUUGUCAGGGAAGAAACGGCCUUUACUAAUAUUAGGGGCUAAUGACGGUACCUGAAGAAUAAGCACCGGCUAACUACGUGCCAGCAGCCGCGGUAAUACGUAGGGUGCAAGCGUUAAUCGGAAUUACUGGGCGUAAAGCGUGCGCAGGCGGCUUUGCAAGACAGAUGUGAAAUCCCCGGGCUCAACCUGGGAACUGCAUUUGUGACUGCAUGGCUAGAGUACGGUAGAGGGGGAUGGAAUUCCGCGUGUAGCAGUGAAAUGCGUAGAUAUGCGGAGGAACACCGAUGGCGAAGGCAAUCCCCUGGACCUGUACUGACGCUCAUGCACGAAAGCGUGGGGAGCAAACAGGAUUAGAUACCCUGGUAGUCCACGCCCUAAACGAUGUCAACUGGUUGUUGGACGGCUUGCUGUUCAGUAACGAAGCUAACGCGUGAAGUUGACCGCCUGGGGAGUACGGCCGCAAGGUUGAAACUCAAAUGAAUUGACGGNNGAGAGNGCGAGACGACGACGAGGGAGGAGG